UCUACGGGCGGCAGCAGUGGGGAAUAUUGGACAAUGGGCGAAAGCCUGAUCCAGCCAUGCCGCGUGUGUGAAGAAGGCCUUCGGGUUGUAAAGCACUUUCAGUGGGGAAGAAAGCCUUGGGGCUAAUACCCUCGAGGAAGGACAUCACCCACAGAAGAAGCACCGGCUAACUCCGUGCCAGCAGCCGCGGUAAUACGGAGGGUGCGAGCGUUAAUCGGAAUUACUGGGCGUAAAGCGCGCGUAGGCGGUCUGAUAAGCCGGUUGUGAAAGCCCCGGGCUCAACCUGGGAACGGCAUCCGGAACUGUCAGGCUAGAGUGCAGGGGAGGAAGGUAGAAUUCCCGGUGUAGCGGUGAAAUGCGUAGAGAUCGGGAGGAAUACCAGUGGCGAAGGCGGCCUUCUGGACUGACACUGACGCUGAGGUGCGAAAGCGUGGGUAGCAAACAGGAUUAGAUACCCCAGUAGUC
RNAcentral lists this ribosomal RNA (465 nucleotides) under Vreelandella stevensii. RNAcentral's name for it is "partial 16S ribosomal RNA". It matches the Rfam family "Bacterial small subunit ribosomal RNA", at positions 338 to 795 of the family's 1533-position model. The record is from RNAcentral. Lineage: Bacteria; Pseudomonadati; Pseudomonadota; Gammaproteobacteria; Oceanospirillales; Halomonadaceae.